This 207-nucleotide ribosomal RNA is filed under the name uncultured bacterium. Its description in RNAcentral is "partial 16S ribosomal RNA". It matches the Rfam family "Bacterial small subunit ribosomal RNA", at positions 568 to 774 of the family's 1533-position model. The record is from RNAcentral.
AGCGUAGACGGCAUGGCAAGUCUGAAGUGAAAGCCCGGGGCUCAACCCCGGGACUGCUUUGGAAACUGUCAGGCUAGAGUGCUGGAGAGGUAAGUGGAAUUCCUAGUGUAGCGGUGAAAUGCGUAGAUAUAAGGAAGAACACCAGUGGCGAAGGCGGAUUACUGGACGGUAACUGACGGUGAGGCGCGAAAGCGUGGGGAGCGAACA